CAGUAGCCACGGUAAUACGAAGGGUGCAAGCGUUACUCGGAAUUACUGGGCGUAAAGCGUGUGUAGGUGGUUGUUUAAGUCUGUCGUGAAAGCCCUGGGCUCAACCUGGGAAUUGCGAUGGAUACUGGGCGACUAGAGUGCGGUAGAGGAUAGUGGAAUUUCCGGUGUAGCAGUGAAAUGCGUAGAGAUCGGAAGGAACAUCUGUGGCGAAGGCGACUAUCUGGGCCAACACUGACACUGAGACACGAAAGCGUGGGGAGCAAACAGGAUUAGAUACCCCCGUAGUCCCUGUCUCUUAUAA
Molecule: ribosomal RNA, 301 nt
Filed under: uncultured bacterium
Lineage: Bacteria
Description: partial 16S ribosomal RNA
Rfam family: Bacterial small subunit ribosomal RNA
Source: RNAcentral